GGAGAAGCAGGGGAUCGCAAGACCUUGCGCUAUUGGAGCGGCCGAUGCCUGAUUAGCUUGUUGGUGAGGUAAAAGCUCACCAAGGCUUCGAUCAGUAGCUGGUCUGAGAGGACGACCAGCCACACUGGGACUGAGACACGGCCCAGACUCCUACGGGAGGCAGCAGUGGGGAAUUUUGGACAAUGGGGGAAACCCUGAUCCAGCCAUGCCGCGUGAGUGAAGAAGGCCUUCGGGUUGUAAAGCUCUUUCAGCCGGAACGAAACGGUUACGGUUAAUACCCGUGACUACUGACGGUACCGGAAGAAGAAGCACCGGCUAACUACGUGCCAGCAGCCGCGGUAAUACGUAGGGUGCGAGCGUUAAUCGGAAUUACUGGGCGUAAAGCGUGCGCAGGCGGUUUUGUAAGUCAGAUGUGAAAUCCCCGGGCUUAACCUGGGAACUGCGUUUGAAACUACAAGGCUAG
This 463-nucleotide ribosomal RNA is filed under the name uncultured bacterium. RNAcentral describes it as "bacterial SSU rRNA". It matches the Rfam family "Bacterial small subunit ribosomal RNA", at positions 200 to 644 of the family's 1533-position model. The record is from RNAcentral.